This 346-nucleotide ribosomal RNA is filed under the name uncultured bacterium. Its description in RNAcentral is "partial 16S ribosomal RNA". It matches the Rfam family "Bacterial small subunit ribosomal RNA", at positions 338 to 681 of the family's 1533-position model. The record is from RNAcentral.
CCUACGGGUGGCAGCAGGGAGGAAUAUUGGUCAAUGGGCGCGAGCCUGAACCAGCCAAGUAGCGUGAAGGAUGACUGCCCUACGGGUUGUAAACUUCGGUUAUAAAGGAAUAAAGUGAGGCACGUGUGCCUUUUUGUAUGUACUUUAUGAAUAAGGAUCGGCUAACUCCGUGCCAGCAGCCGCGGUAAUACGGAGGAUCCGAGCGUUAUCCGGAGUUAUUGGGUUUACAGGGAGCGUAGAGGGGUUGUUAAGUCAGUUGUGAAAGUUUGCGGCUCAACCGUAAAAUUGCAAUUGAUACUUGCAGUCUUGCGUACAGUUGCGGUCGGCGGAAUUCGUGGUGUAGCGG